Balaenoptera musculus (blue whale) is the source of this 286-nucleotide long non-coding RNA. RefSeq lists it as uncharacterized. The transcript is spliced from 3 exons. Lineage: Eukaryota; Metazoa; Chordata; Mammalia; Artiodactyla; Balaenopteridae. The record is from RefSeq and is a predicted model, not a curated record.
AAAGAUGUCCAAUACCUCUGCUGUAGCAACACAGUGCUUCAUGGAAUCCUACAGUGAUUGUAUCUAUGAAUUCACUGCACAAGCAUUUUAAGAAAUGUCCAGUUGUGCUUCAUCAACUUGCAUCUGCAGCAGAAGGAAUUAGAACACAGUGAGAGAAGAUGCUGCCAGGGACCAGGAAACAGUCAGUGAACAAAACAGCCCAGAAUGAUGAUACCAGUGAUCUGAUCUGUUUUUGUGGAAAGAAGAUGAGUGACUCUACUGAACAUCUGUAAUACCCAGAUGCACA